AUUGAACGCUGGCGGCAUGCUUUACACAUGCAAGUCGAACGGCAGCGCGGGCUUCGGCCUGGCGGCGAGUGGCGAACGGGUGAGUAAUACACCGGAACGUGCCCAGUAGUGGGGGAUAGCUCGGCGAAAGCCGGAUUAAUACCGCAUACGACCUGAGGGUGAAAGCGGGGGAUCUUCGGACCUCGCGCUAUUGGCGCGGCCGAUGGCAGAUUAGCUAGUUGGUGGGGUAAAGGCCUACCAAGGCGACGAUCUGUAGCUGCUCUGAGAGGACGACCAGCCACACUGGGACUGAGACACGGCCCAGACUCCUACGGGAGGCAGCAGUGGGGAAUUUUGGACAAUGGGCGAAAGCCUGAUCCAGCAAUGCCGCGUGUGUGAUGAAGGCCUUCGGGUUGUAAAGCACUUUUGGCGGGAACGAAAAGGACUGUGCCAAUACCACGGUGCGAUGACGGUACCCGCAGAAUAAGCACCGGCUAACUACGUG
Molecule: ribosomal RNA, 484 nt
Filed under: uncultured bacterium
Lineage: Bacteria
Description: partial 16S ribosomal RNA
Rfam family: Bacterial small subunit ribosomal RNA
Source: RNAcentral